Molecule: small nuclear RNA, 117 nt
Filed under: Chelonoidis abingdonii (Abingdon island giant tortoise)
Lineage: Eukaryota; Metazoa; Chordata; Testudines; Testudinidae
Description: U5 spliceosomal RNA (ENSCABG00000017416.1)
Rfam family: U5 spliceosomal RNA
About the family: U5 RNA is a component of both types of known spliceosome. The precise function of this molecule is unknown, though it is known that the 5' loop is required for splice site selection and p220 binding, and that both the 3' stem-loop and the Sm site are important for Sm protein binding and cap methylation.
Source: RNAcentral
AAAAUUUCUCUUCAGAUCGUAUAAAUCAAUCACCUUUUACUAAAGAUUUCCUUGGACAGGAACAUUUAUGAGUUUCUACCCAAUUUUUGAAACUGAGGGCUGUCUUUCUGACAGGCA